ACACGGUGGAUGCCCUGGCAGUCAGAGGCGAUGAAGGGCGUGCUAAUCUGCGAUAAGCGCCGGUAAGGUGAUAUGAACCGUUAUAACCGGCGAUACCCGAAUGGGGAAACCCAGUGUGAUUCGUCACACUAUCAUUAACUGAAUCCAUAGGUUAAUGAGGCGAACCGGGGGAACUGAAACAUCUAAGUACCCCGAGGAAAAGAAAUCAACCGAGAUUCCCCCAGUAGCGGCGAGCGAACGGGGAGGAGCCCAGAGCCUGAAUCAGCAUGUGUGUUAGUGGAAGCGUCUGGAAAGGCGCGCGAUACAGGGUGACAGCCCCGUACACAAAAGCGCAUGUGCUGUGAGCUCGAUGAGUAGGGCGGGACACGUGGUAUCCUGUCUGAAUAUGGGGGGACCAUCCUCCAAGGCUAAAUACUCCUGACUGACCGAUAGUGAACCAGUACCGUGAGGGAAAGGCGAAAAGAACCCCGGCGAGGGGAGUGAAAAAGAACCUGAAACCGUGUACGUACAAGCAGUGGGAGCCCCACCACCAAAGCAUUUGCUGUACCGCGUUGACGGAGCGAAGCGACGUCAAACCGAUAAAACA
RNAcentral lists this ribosomal RNA (586 nucleotides) under Salmonella enterica subsp. enterica serovar Enteritidis. RNAcentral's name for it is "partial 23S ribosomal RNA". It matches the Rfam family "Bacterial large subunit ribosomal RNA", at positions 19 to 589 of the family's 2925-position model. Lineage: Bacteria; Pseudomonadati; Pseudomonadota; Gammaproteobacteria; Enterobacterales; Enterobacteriaceae. The record is from RNAcentral.